CUUGCUUUCUUUGCUGGCGACCGGCGCACGGGUGAGUAACACGUAUCCAACCUGCCCUUUACUCGGGGAUAGCCUUUCGAAAGAAAGAUUAAUACCCGAUAGCAUAAUGAUUCCGCAUGGUUUCAUUAUUAAAGGAUUCCGGUAAAGGAUGGGGAUGCGUUCCAUUAGGUUGUUGGUGAGGUAACGGCCCACCAAGCCUUCGAUGGAUAGGGGUUCUGAGAGGAAGGUCCCCCACAUUGGAACUGAGACACGGUCCAAACUCCUACGGGAGGCAAGCAUG
RNAcentral lists this ribosomal RNA (280 nucleotides) under uncultured bacterium. RNAcentral describes it as "partial 16S ribosomal RNA". It matches the Rfam family "Bacterial small subunit ribosomal RNA", at positions 75 to 350 of the family's 1533-position model. The record is from RNAcentral.